RNAcentral lists this ribosomal RNA (375 nucleotides) under uncultured organism. RNAcentral's name for it is "partial 16S ribosomal RNA". It matches the Rfam family "Bacterial small subunit ribosomal RNA", at positions 527 to 896 of the family's 1533-position model. The record is from RNAcentral.
GUAGGUGGCAAGCGUUGUCCGGGAAUUAUUGGGGCGUAAAGCGCGCGCAGGCGGUUCUUUAAGUCUGAUGUGAAAGCCCACGGGCUCAACCGUGGAGGGUCAUUGGAAACUGGAGAACUUGAGUACAGAAGAGGAAAGCGGAAUUCCACGUGUAGCGGUGAAAUGCGUAGAGAUGUGGAGGAACACCUGUGGCGAAGGCGGCUUUCUGGUCUGUAACUGACGCUGAGGCGCGAAAGCGUGGGGAGCAAACAGGAUUAGAUACCCUGGUAGUCCACGCCGUAAACGAUGAGUGCUAAGUGUUAGGGGGUUUCCGCCCCUUAGUGCUGCAGCUAACGCAUUAAGCACUCCGCCUGGGGAGUACGGCCGCAAAGGCUG